This 1052-nucleotide ribosomal RNA is filed under the name Hydra vulgaris (swiftwater hydra). RNAcentral's name for it is "SSU rRNA". It matches the Rfam family "Eukaryotic small subunit ribosomal RNA", at positions 65 to 1122 of the family's 1831-position model. Lineage: Eukaryota; Metazoa; Cnidaria; Hydrozoa; Anthoathecata; Hydridae. The record is from RNAcentral.
AUAAGCACUUGUACUGUGAAACUGCGAAUGGCUCAUUAAAUCAGUUAUCGUUUAUUUGAUUGUACCUUACUACAUGGAUACCUGUGGUAAUUCUAGAGCUAAUACAUGCGAAAGAUCCCGACUUCACGGAAGGGAUGUAUUUAUUAGACUAAAAACCAAUGCGGGCCUCGGUCCGCUUGCUUGGUGAUUCAUGAUAACUUUUCGAAUCGCAUGGCCUUGCGCCGGCGAUGUUUCAUUCAAAUUUCUGCCCUAUCAACUGUCGAUGGUAAGGUAGUGGCUUACCAUGGUUGCAACGGGUGACGGAGAAUUAGGGUUCGAUUCCGGAGAGGGAGCCUGAGAAACGGCUACCACAUCUAAGGAAGGCAGCAGGCACGAAAAUUACCCAAUCCCGAUUCGGGGAGGUAGUGACAAGAAAUAACGGUACGGGGCCUUUAUAGGUCUCGCAAUCGGAAUGAGAACAAUUUAAAUCCUUUAACGAGGAUCAAUUGGAGGGCAAGUCUGGUGCCAGCAGCCGCGGUAAUUCCAGCUCCAAUAGCGUAUAUUAAAGUUGUUGCAGUUAAAAAGCUCGUAGUUGGAUUUCGGAGCGGGCCCGUUGGUCCACCGCAAAGUGAGCUACUGGCGGGUCUGUUCUUCUUCGCAAAGACUGCAGGUGCACUUCGCUGUGUGCUUGUCGGAUUUGUGACGUUUACUUUGAAAAAAUUAGAGUGUUCAAAGCAGGCUUUCGCUUGAAUACAUGAGCAUGGAAUAAUGGAAUAGGACUUUGGUUCUAUUUUGUUGGUUUCUAGGACCGAAGUAAUGAUUAAGAGGGACAAACGGGGGCAUCUGUAUUUCGUUGUCAGAGGUGAAAUUCUUGGAUUUGCGAAAGACAAACAACUGCGAAAGCACUUGCCAAGAGUGUUUUCAUUAAUCAAGAACGAAAGUUAGAGGAUCGAAGACGAUCAGAUACCGUCCUAGUUCUAACCAUAAACGAUGUCGACUAGGGAUCGGCGGGCGUUAUUUUAUGACCCCGUCGGCACCUUACGGGAAACCAAAGUUUUUGGAUUCCGGGGGUA